RNAcentral lists this ribosomal RNA (451 nucleotides) under uncultured bacterium. RNAcentral's name for it is "bacterial SSU rRNA". It matches the Rfam family "Bacterial small subunit ribosomal RNA", at positions 29 to 466 of the family's 1533-position model. The record is from RNAcentral.
AAUCAACGCUGGCGGCGUGCCUAACACAUGCAAGUCGAACGCGAAAGGGGCUUCGGCCCUGAGUAGAGUGGCGAACGGGUGAGUAACACGUGGGUGAUCUACCUUCGAGUGGGGAUAACGUUCCGAAAGGAGCGCUAAUACCGCAUGACGUUCUGGGUUUGAAGACCUGGAAACCAAAGCCGGGGACCGCAAGGCCUGGCGCUAGAAGAGGAGCCCGCGCCUGAUUAGCUAGUUGGUGAGGAAUGGCUCACCAAGGCAACGAUCAGUAGCCGGCCUGAGAGGGGCGGACGGCCACACUGGGACUGAGACACGGCCCAGACUCCUACGGGAGGCAGCAGUGGGGAAUUGUUCGCAAUGGGCGCAAGCCUGACGACGCAACGCCGCGUGGAGGAUGAAGGUCUUCGGAUUGUAAACUCCUGUUGACCGGGAAGAAUAGGCUUCGAGUGAAUAG